GCGCGAAAACUUUACAAUGCUGGCAGCAGCGAUAAGGGAACCUCGAGUGCCAGGUUACAAUCUGGCUGUCGAGAUGCCUAAAAAGCAUUUCAUAGCAAGGGCCGGGCAAGACCGGUGCCAGCCGCCGCGGUAACACCGGCGGCUCGAGUGGUAACCGUUAUUAUUGGGUCUAAAGGGUCUGUAGCCGGCCGGAUAAGUCUCUUGAGAAAUCUGGCAGCUUAACUAUCAGGCUUUCAGGAGAUACUGUCUGGCUCGAGGCCGGGAGAGGUGAGAGGUACUUCAGGGGUAGGGGUGAAAUCUUGUAAUCCUUGAAGGACCACCAGUGGCGAAGGCGUCUCACCAGAACGGACCUGACGGCAAGGGACGAAAGCUAGGGGCACGAACCG
Molecule: ribosomal RNA, 386 nt
Filed under: uncultured bacterium
Lineage: Bacteria
Description: bacterial SSU rRNA
Rfam family: Archaeal small subunit ribosomal RNA
Source: RNAcentral